This 285-nucleotide small RNA is filed under the name Bacillus subtilis. Its description in RNAcentral is "SurA sRNA". It matches the Rfam family "SurA sRNA". Lineage: Bacteria; Bacillati; Bacillota; Bacilli; Caryophanales; Bacillaceae. The record is from RNAcentral.
CUUCAAGGAAUGGAGCAAACGGCGGAGCAGGGAUACUUUGGCCGGUUUCAUCUACUCCGCCUCUAAAUCCAAAUAAACAGGAUGUCGGUUUCUUUGAGGCUUUAGCACGAAUUCUCUCAUCCUCCUUGUUAAAUUUUUGUUAAAUUCACAAUAUUAUAUACCAUUAGCCCGGGCGCUGUUCUUCUCAUUUCUGAAUUUAUGAAAAGUAAGUUGGCACCACCUUUUUCCCAAUUCCCAUAUCAAACAGAAAAAAACACACCUGCCCUUUGGCCUGUGCGUUUUUAC